Molecule: unclassified non-coding RNA, 425 nt
Filed under: soil metagenome
Description: partial contains 5.8S ribosomal RNA, internal transcribed spacer 2, and large subunit ribosomal RNA
Rfam family: 5.8S ribosomal RNA (bases 1-120)
Source: RNAcentral
GAUGAAGAACGCAGCGAAAUGCGAUAAGUAGUGUGAAUUGCAGAAUUCCGUGAAUCAUCGAAUCUUUGAACGCACAUUGCGCCUUCUGGUAUUCCGGAAGACAUGCCUGUUCGAGAGUCAUUAACAACCGUUUCGAUCCCUUUCUUUCAGAAAUUACAAAGAGGAAAAGGGUUUGGUUAUGGUGGAGGAGGGAAAGGGAGCGUUUAGCCUGUAAAAAAAGAGGCUGUGUUCCGCCUCCCCCCCAAAAUUGUACAGGCGGUCGUGUGCGCCCACGCAUCGAGGUGUUGUAAAAGCUGCCACGGCACUUUUCACCUGUGCAGUGCGAGAUUGGCCAGCCGGUUUAAAAACCCCUCCAAACAAUCAAAGGUUGACCUCGGAUCAGGUAGGGAUACCCGCUGAACUUAAGCAUAUCAAUAAGCGGAGGA